CCUACGGGAGGCAGCAGUGAGGAAUAUUGGUCAAUGGCCGUAAGGCUGAACCAGCCAAGUCGCGUGAAGGAAGAAGGAUCUCUGGUUUGUAAACUUCUUUUAUAGGGGAAUAAAGGUAUCCACGUGUGGAUAUUUGCAUGUACCCUAUGAAUAAGCAUCGGCUAACUCCGUGCCAGCAGCCGCGGUAAUACGGAGGAUGCGAGCGUUAUCCGGAUUUAUUGGGUUUAAAGGGUGCGUAGGUUGUUUUUUAAGUCAGCGGUGAAAGUUUGUGGCUCAACCAUAAAAUUGCCGUUGAAACUGGAAGACGUGAGUGUGUUUGAGGUAGGCGGAAUGCGUGGUGUAGCGGUGAAAUGCAUAGAUAUCACGCAGAACUCCGAGUGCGAAGGCAGCUUACUAAGCCAUAACUGACACUGAAGCACGAAAGCGUGGGGAUCAAACAGGAUUAGAUACCCUUGUAGUC
RNAcentral lists this ribosomal RNA (460 nucleotides) under uncultured bacterium. Its description in RNAcentral is "partial 16S ribosomal RNA". It matches the Rfam family "Bacterial small subunit ribosomal RNA", at positions 338 to 795 of the family's 1533-position model. The record is from RNAcentral.